GACGAACGCUGGCGGCGUGCCUAAUACAUGCAAGUCGAGCGAAGUUUUUCUGGUGCUUGCACUAGAAAAACUUAGCGGCGAACGGGUGAGUAACACGUAAAGAACCUGCCUCAUAGACUGGGACAACUAUUGGAAACGAUAGCUAAUACCGGAUAACAGUAUUUCUCGCAUGAGAGAUAUUUAAAAGUUGGUUAUGCUAACACUAUGAGAUGGCUUUGCGGUGCAUUAGCUAGUUGGUGGGGUAAAGGCCCACCAAGGCGACGAUGCAUAGCCGACCUGAGAGGGUGAUCGGCCACACUGGGACUGAGACACGGCCCAGACUCCUACGGGUGGCAGCAGUAGGGAAUCUUCCGCAAUGGGCGAAAGCCUGACGGAGCAACGCCGCGUGAGUGAAGAAGGAUUUCGGUUCGUAAAGCUCUGUUGUUAGGGAAGAAUGGAUAUGUAGUAACUAUACAUGUAAGAGACGGUACCUAACCAGAAAGCCACGGCUAACUACGUG
This 499-nucleotide ribosomal RNA is filed under the name uncultured bacterium. Its description in RNAcentral is "partial 16S ribosomal RNA". It matches the Rfam family "Bacterial small subunit ribosomal RNA", at positions 28 to 507 of the family's 1533-position model. The record is from RNAcentral.